GCUGCCGCCGCGCCGGCCGGUGGCUCGGCGGCAGCCAGGGCGGCCGGGAGCGGCAGUGCGGAGGUCGACGACGACAAGGUGCUCGUAGAGCACGACGUGCCGCUGGACGCGGACCGGGAGGACUGCGAGCUUCUGAGGCGCACCGAGGAGUUCUGGGACGCGCUCGACGCCUCGCGCUGGCUGCCGCCGGACACCCUCAACCCCGAACUCAGCUUGGUCAUGCAGACGUGAUGCGCUGGGGAGGAGGACGGCGCUGUGGGGGAGGGGAGGGGCGUAGGGAUCGCUGCUGUUUGUGUUACGUCGUGUGUAUGCGUUGAUUAGCGCAGACUGUGUUUAUUUUGUAGUUAAUUAGCAUGUGUUGGGGUUCGUUUCACCAGUGUUUUUCAUCAGCGCGCCAUCAGUCGUGAGUGCAGAACAACGUAAUACAUGGCAAUGUCGAGUGCAGCGUGUUUCCAAGUCAUGGCUCGCAGUUAAUGCGUUUAGCAUCCUCAAACGCUACCUCAGGGGAAAAUGGUGUUUCGUGUGGCGUUUAUCUUACCUUGCGAUGGCAUGGUGCGUGCGGGGCCUGCGUUCAGGUUCGCUCCUUAGGACCGGGCAUUCACUUUGUCACUAAAUCCACGGCACUAUCAUGCGCGAAUGUAAAAUAAACCCAAUGUGUA
This is a long non-coding RNA of Pollicipes pollicipes, 659 nucleotides long. RefSeq lists it as uncharacterized. Lineage: Eukaryota; Metazoa; Arthropoda; Thecostraca; Pollicipedomorpha; Pollicipedidae. The transcript has 2 exons. The record is from RefSeq and is a predicted model, not a curated record.